ACACCCCGAACUGCUCGACCCGCUAAAAAAAUCCCCUCGUUCGAUCCCCAACCUCCCCCCAGUCCCGUCGCCGCUGCUGCCUAUCCCGCCUCCUACCGGUGCGCCACCACUCCCGCCUCCUUCCGGCGCGCCGUCAUCCCUGCCUCCUACCGGCGCGCCGCCAGACCCUCCUUCUUCCCUGGAGUGCCGCCACCCCGCUACCCCCGCCAUCUCCCACCAUGGGGUAACCCUAGAUGGCCGCCGGCCCGCCGUCGCCGACGUCGCCUCCUUCUCCCUUGGCCCUCAGCCACCCAACGGCAGCUGCAUCACGCCGAUUAGGUCUUACCCCAGGACAGCCACGGGUGUCGUCAUCUCCAGAAGCCUGCCCCCAAAUCGUUGCCACCUGCGCCUCCGAUUCAGCCAACGUCGGUCAUCUCCCUCUUCGUCCUCCACGGGUGUUGCUCUGCCUCGGUCUAUAAUUAACGUCCAUGCCCCAACGCCUUCUCACUGUUCCUCCCCUGAGCGCACCCCGCGGCUAACCCUAGGGACCGAGUCGGGCUUGCCGGCACGGCGCGUCGUGUGCUGUUGGCACCCCACUCCACCUGCUAUGUUGCGCCCCGGUCUCCAACAGCCAUUCCGAGGAACCCAUCUCGCCGCCACCAUCGUCUGCUAUCCUCCAAUAAGUGUGUUGCGGUACGCCGAUGUCCUCCCAUCGGCAAGCUCCGCCCCUGCUGGCAUCGUCCACUCACACCAUGUCCUCCUCUUUGCCAAGCAGCGUUAAGUGGUGAUUAUCAGAAGUCCAAGACCACACUGUAGGCAGGAAAAAGGAAUGUUCUUGUAGGUUGCUCGCGGGUGACUUCUCAGGUGUCACGGCGCUUGCAUUGUAGAUUAGUAGAGGGAAUAUUGAGACGACGAGGAGAGCGACUUAACUGCAGUCCGCACAACACCAUGAACCAGGGUAAAGAGGUCAAUCUUCCAAUACACAAAUUUUGUGGUGUUCACAAAUCUUAGUGAGAGAGGACAUUGACGGUGCGAGAAUGGAACAUAACGAGUUUGUGUGUGUGUGUGCAUUACCGAAACGUUGCACGACAUGUUCUUGAAGUCCGCCCUCUCAUUGAUUGGAACAGGGUGAAAGUUGUGGAAUUUUUGCUGUGACCGCCUGGACUAAGAUGACAGGGCUGACAAAGAUGAAGGCAAGAAGGUUAUAGGGGUGGCCCAGAUAUCAUGGAGAGGCGCCGUGCUCGGCCCAGUGAGGAGCUCCGGGUCAACAUUGUGGCUGCGUGGUGGGCAUGAACCAUGGCGACUGCCUUCCGGCUUUAUUCUCUUGGCUCGUAUAUUUGCCGCUAGCUAUUCUUACAGAAUCAUGAAUUAGACUUAGGAGAAUUGGCAUGUCAUCACAUGAAUUUUUUUAAACUAUGAGGUGCUACAGGUUUUGUCAUCCUUGAACCGGUCUGCCCUCAAACGAACCCCUUAGAUGCAGCCAACACCUUGUAGCCCACACAUUACUCUCUUCAGGUCGCCGUUUUGGACCGUGUAGCGGUGUUGCCCGAGAGCCACGCGACUCCCAUAUCGCCCCUCUAGGAGAGCCAUAUGAGGGUAGAUCUGGGCCCAUGCCCGACGAAGAGGGGUGGCAGAGGGAAGGACUGCUGGUGGUGGCAGUCAUUUGGUGGCGACGACUGGUGAAGCGUGGAAAAGGUCGGGGAGGUGGACCAUUAGGGGAGAUCAGUGACACCGCCGCCGCUUUCUCUCCUUCUCGAGACACCAUCAUUGUGAGCAAAGGAGGCUGUGUUGCUAUCUCUGUUUUGU
Molecule: non-coding RNA, 1785 nt
Organism: Aegilops tauschii subsp. strangulata
Lineage: Eukaryota; Viridiplantae; Streptophyta; Magnoliopsida; Poales; Poaceae
Source: RefSeq, a predicted model, not a curated record